GUAUAAGCAGUAUUCUUCUUUAUAUUUCUAUGCCGAUGCUAGAAAUGUAAAGAAGAAUACUGCUGAUAC
Molecule: microRNA precursor, 69 nt
Filed under: Megaselia scalaris
Lineage: Eukaryota; Metazoa; Arthropoda; Insecta; Diptera; Phoridae
Description: mir-1 microRNA precursor family
Source: RNAcentral